CCUACGGGAGGCAGCAGUGGGGAAUUUUGGACAAUGGGCGCAAGCCUGAUCCAGCAAUGCCGCGUGAGUGAAGAAGGCCUUCGGGUUGUAAAGCUCUUUUGUCAGGGAAGAAACGGUGGGGGCUAAUAUCUCCCACUAAUGACGGUACCUGAAGAAUAAGCACCGGCUAACUACGUGCCAGCAGCCGCGGUAAUACGUAGGGUGCAAGCGUUAAUCGGAAUUACUGGGCGUAAAGCGUGCGCAGGCGGUUUUGUAAGUUUGUCGUGAAAUCCCCGGGCUCAACCUGGGAAUGGCGAUGAAGACUGCAAGGCUAGAAUCUGGCAGAGGGGGGUAGAAUUCCACGUGUAGCAGUGAAAUGCGUAGAGAUGUGGAGGAACACCGAUGGCGAAGGCAGCCCCCUGGGUCAAGAUUGACGCUCAUGCACGAAAGCGUGGGGAGCAAACAGGAUUAGAUACCCUGGUAGUCCACGCCCUAAACGAUGUCUACUAGUUGUCGGGUUUAAUUAACUUGGUAACGCAGCUAACGCGUGAAGUAGACCGCCUGGGGAGUACGGUCGCAAGNUUAAAACUUAAGGAAUUGACGG
This 583-nucleotide ribosomal RNA is filed under the name uncultured bacterium. Its description in RNAcentral is "bacterial SSU rRNA". It matches the Rfam family "Bacterial small subunit ribosomal RNA", at positions 338 to 916 of the family's 1533-position model. The record is from RNAcentral.